RNAcentral lists this ribosomal RNA (404 nucleotides) under uncultured bacterium. Its description in RNAcentral is "bacterial SSU rRNA". It matches the Rfam family "Bacterial small subunit ribosomal RNA", at positions 355 to 776 of the family's 1533-position model. The record is from RNAcentral.
UUGGGAAUUGUACACAAUGGGCGCAAGCCUGAUGUCGCGACGCCGCGUGAAGGAUGAAGGCCUUCGGGUUGUAAACUUCUUUUAUCAGGGACGAUGAUGACGGUACCUGAUGAAUAAGCACCGGCUAACUACGUGCCAGCAGCCGCGGUAAUACGUAGGGUGCAAGCGUUAUCCGGAAUUAUUGGGCGUAAAGAAUGCGUAGGCGGUUUAGUAAGUUGUCCGUUAAAUUUUCAGGCUCAACCUGAUUCGCGCGGACAAUACUGCUGAACUAGUGAAUAGCAGGGGCAAGCGGAAUUCCCGGUGUAGGAGUGAAAUCCGUUGAUAUCGGGAGGAACACCAAUGGCGAAGGCAGCUUGCUAGGUUAUUUCAGACGCUGAGGCAUGAAAGCGUGGGGAGCGAACGGG